Molecule: ribosomal RNA, 253 nt
Filed under: uncultured bacterium
Lineage: Bacteria
Description: partial 16S ribosomal RNA
Rfam family: Bacterial small subunit ribosomal RNA
Source: RNAcentral
UACGUAGGGGGCGAGCGUUAUCCGGAUUUACUGGGUGUAAAGGGAGCGUAGACGGCCAUGCAAGCUCGGUGUGAAAGGUGCGGGCACAACCCGCAGACUGCACUGAGAACUGUAUGGCUGGAGUGCCGGAGGGGCAGGCGGAAUUCCUGGUGUAGCGGUGAAAUGCGUAGAUAUCAGGAGGAACACCGGUGGCGAAGGCGGCCUGCUGGACGGCGACUGACGUUGAGGCUCGAAAGCGUGGGGAGCGAACAGG